This 74-nucleotide transfer RNA is filed under the name Streptomyces sp. 5-10. RNAcentral describes it as "tRNA-Phe". It matches the Rfam family "tRNA". From Rfam's summary of the family: Transfer RNA (tRNA) molecules are approximately 80 nucleotides in length. Their secondary structure includes four short double-helical elements and three loops (D, anti-codon, and T loops). Further hydrogen bonds mediate the characteristic L-shaped molecular structure. tRNAs have two regions of fundamental functional importance: the anti-codon, which is responsible for specific mRNA codon recognition, and the 3' end, to which the tRNAs corresponding amino acid is attached (by aminoacyl-tRNA synthetases). tRNAs cope with the degeneracy of the genetic code in two manners: having more than one tRNA (with a specific anti-codon) for a particular amino acid; and 'wobble' base-pairing, i.e. permitting non-standard base-pairing at the 3rd anti-codon position. Lineage: Bacteria; Bacillati; Actinomycetota; Actinomycetes; Kitasatosporales; Streptomycetaceae. The record is from RNAcentral.
GGAUCUGUAGCUCAGUCAGUAAGAGCGCCCGUCUGAAAAACGGGAGGCCGCAAGUGCGAUUCUUGCCGGAUCCA